This 267-nucleotide signal recognition particle RNA is filed under the name Salinicoccus cyprini. RNAcentral describes it as "Salinicoccus sp. CT19 signal recognition particle sRNA large type". It matches the Rfam family "Bacterial large signal recognition particle RNA". From Rfam's summary of the family: The signal recognition particle (SRP) is a universally conserved ribonucleoprotein involved in the co-translational targeting of proteins to membranes. Archaeal SRP consists of a 7S RNA and homologues of the eukaryotic SRP19 and SRP54 proteins. The record is from RNAcentral. Lineage: Bacteria; Bacillati; Bacillota; Bacilli; Caryophanales; Staphylococcaceae.
CCGUGCUAAGUGGGGAGGUAGCGGUGCCCUGUACCUGCAAUCCGCUCCAGCAGGACUGAAUUCCGCUUCUGAGGAUAUUCCGUGUGAGGACUGCCUUGAUCUCACCGGUGUUGAGAUUCCGGUCCUAUGCAAUAGAACGUCACGAAUCAUGUCAGGUCCGGAAGGAAGCAGCAUUAAGUGGCCCAUUCUAUGUGCCGUAGGACAGCCGGAGUUGAGCUGGUGGAUCAAGUAACGCUUGUGCCGAAUGUUCAAAGAAGCGGUGCACGG